Long non-coding RNA from Ochlerotatus camptorhynchus, 955 nucleotides. RefSeq lists it as uncharacterized. The transcript has 3 exons. NCBI's taxonomy places the organism in Eukaryota, Metazoa, Arthropoda, Insecta, Diptera, Culicidae. The record is from RefSeq and is a predicted model, not a curated record.
GAACACAUUUCAUGGAUCAUUGCGGAGUUUGUUUGAUAUCGGGAAGAAUUUUAAGGCAAAAACCCGUGAAGAAAAGCAGGCGAUGCAAUAUUUGCAAAAACAGCGGGAACAAGCUCAUCUUGAAGAAGAAACUGAGGUUCUCCCAACCAAUGAAACCAUUUCGUGUAGCGAUUUUGAGGAAGAAGGGUCAAGCCAAAGACCGGAUCAAAUUUGUAGUGCAACCUCAAUUGAAACAUCAUCACAAAACGACAGCCAGGCUGGGUCAGUGUACUCGCCUAGUACAUCCGAAAGAGCUUCUCCAAAAACAGGUUCUCCAAAACCAGCUUUGACACGUAAAUCGCAACUGAUACGAGUUGUUACAGUUGAGGUAGCUGCUGCUUUGGUCCACUUUAAAGUGAGUGAUCGAAAUGCUGUGUUUCUAAUAUCAUCGAUCGCUAAAGCUUUAGGGCACGAUGUUUCAUCAUUAUAUUGUUGAACAAGGAAUCUGUCAGAAUCGCCAGAGCAGGAAUUCGCUUACAAAUGCAACAUGAUUUAAAAGCGUCGUUUAAGCCAGAUAUAAAUUUAACAGUACAUUGGGAUUCCAAGCUGCUACCUAACAUAUUACCAUCCAAAGCUCUACCAAAAACCGAGCACUUGGCCAUAGUUGUAUCAGGCGAAGGCAUUAGCAAAUUAUUGGCUGUUCCACCCAUCGAAAACUCUACGGGGGCACAACAAGCAGAAGUGGUGUACAAUGCAGUCGUCGAAUGGAGGCUUGCGGACAGAAUUAUGUUUACAUCUUUUGAUACUACUGCAUCAAACACCGGUAGAAAAAAAGGUGCGUGUCAGUACCUGGACAAAUUGUUUAAGAGGCAGCUUAUAGGCCUUAUAGACCUCAUACAUGAACUGCUACUUGGCAAAGUUUUUAAAAUUCUGAAAUUUGAAACGUCAAAGUCUCCAAAUGUUGAGAUUUUUAAGG